AAAUUGAAGAGUUUGAUCAUGGCUCAGAUUGAACGCUGGCGGCAGGCCUAACACAUGCAAGUCGAACGGUAACAGGAAGCAGCUUGCUGCUUCGCUGACGAGUGGCGGACGGGUGAGUAAUGUCUGGGAAACUGCCUGAUGGAGGGGGAUAACUACUGGAAACGGUAGCUAAUACCGCAUAACGUCGCAAGACCAAAGAGGGGGACCUUCGGGCCUCUUGCCAUCGGAUGUGCCCAGAUGGGAUUAGCUAGUAGGUGGGGUAACGGCUCACCUAGGCGACGAUCCCUAGCUGGUCUGAGAGGAUGACCAGCCACACUGGAACUGAGACACGGUCCAGACUCCUACGGGAGGCAGCAGUGGGGAAUAUUGCACAAUGGGCGCAAGCCUGAUGCAGCCAUGCCGCGUGUAUGAAGAAGGCCUUCGGGUUGUAAAGUACUUUCAGCGGGGAGGAAGGGAGUAAAGUUAAUACCUUUGCUCAUUGACGUUACCCGCAGAAGAAGCACCGGCUAACUCCGUGCCAGCAGCCGCGGUAAUACGGAGGGUGCAAGCGUUAAUCGGAAUUACUGGGCGUAAAGCGCACGCAGGCGGUUUGUUAAGUCAGAUGUGAAAUCCCCGGGCUCAACCUGGGAACUGCAUCUGAUACUGGCAAGCUUGAGUC
This 658-nucleotide ribosomal RNA is filed under the name Escherichia coli. Its description in RNAcentral is "bacterial SSU rRNA". It matches the Rfam family "Bacterial small subunit ribosomal RNA", at positions 1 to 648 of the family's 1533-position model. The record is from RNAcentral. Lineage: Bacteria; Pseudomonadati; Pseudomonadota; Gammaproteobacteria; Enterobacterales; Enterobacteriaceae.